This is a non-coding RNA of Acanthosepion pharaonis, 111 nucleotides long. Lineage: Eukaryota; Metazoa; Mollusca; Cephalopoda; Sepiida; Sepiidae. The record is from the annotation of a GenBank genome assembly.
UACGGCCAUAUCACAUUGAAACACCAGUCCUCGUACGAUCACAGAUGUUAAGCCACGUUGAGCCUAGUCUGUAAUGAGAUGGGUAACCGCUUAGGUAUACCAGGUUCUGUA